Long non-coding RNA from Etheostoma cragini (Arkansas darter), 145 nucleotides. RefSeq lists it as uncharacterized. The record is from RefSeq and is a predicted model, not a curated record. NCBI's taxonomy places the organism in Eukaryota, Metazoa, Chordata, Actinopteri, Perciformes, Percidae. The transcript has 3 exons.
CCCCAAAUCGUUGAUUUGUUUAUCCAACUGCACCCAGAGGCAUUUGAGCGGCAUCCGUUGGUGACGCCCCUUUGGAAAUGGGCUGUGAAUGAACCGUCCCCAGACCCACUCUCAGUUACAGCUGAGCCGGAUCUGGUGUCAGGCU